GACGAACGCUGGCGGCGUGCCUAAUACAUGCAAGUUGAGCGCUGAAGGUUGGUACUUGUACCAACUGGAUGAGCAGCGAACGGGUGAGUAACGCGUGGGGAAUCUGCCUUUGAGCGGGGGACAACAUUUGGAAACGAAUGCUAAUACCGCAUAAAAACUUUAAACACAAGUUUUAAGUUUGAAAGAUGCAAUUGCAUCACUCAAAGAUGAUCCCGCGUUGUAUUAGCUAGUUGGUGAGGUAAAGGCUCACCAAGGCGAUGAUGCAUAGCCGACCUGAGAGGGUGAUCGGCCACAUUGGGACUGAGACACGGCCCAAACUCCUACGGGAGGCAGCAGUAGGGAAUCUUCGGCAAUGGACGAAAGUCUGACCGAGCAACGCCGCGUGAGUGAAGAAGGUUUUCGGAUCGUAAAACUCUGUUGGUAGAGAAGAACGUUGGUGAGAGUGGAAAGCUCAUCAAGUGACGGUAACUACCCAGAAAGGGACGGCUAACUACGCG
RNAcentral lists this ribosomal RNA (497 nucleotides) under uncultured bacterium. Its description in RNAcentral is "partial 16S ribosomal RNA". It matches the Rfam family "Bacterial small subunit ribosomal RNA", at positions 28 to 507 of the family's 1533-position model. The record is from RNAcentral.